RNAcentral lists this long non-coding RNA (3101 nucleotides) under Equus asinus (donkey). RNAcentral describes it as "lncRNA (ENSEASG00005025407.1)". The record is from RNAcentral. Lineage: Eukaryota; Metazoa; Chordata; Mammalia; Perissodactyla; Equidae.
GACCUGCAUCCUCCCGCUUCAUUUUCUGGUUAGUGGGACGUGCCCUGCCGUUACUACUGCGAUUCUAGAAUUGAGAAAAGGAGGCACAGAGAGCUAAGUAACUUGACAACAGUCGUGAUGAGGACCAGAGUCUCCCUAGGACACAGACAACCCCUGAGUGAUGGGGAUGGGGCUUGGGUGCAGGGACCUGGAAGAAGGCAGGUGCCAGGGAAGGGACAGGAACAGGGAGGCCACCCAGAGGCCAGCAAAUGCUGGAGCUACUUCCUUGUGGGCCUGAGCCUGGGGGACCUGCGGGGUCAGGGCCAGGGAGCCACGGAGGGAACAGCCGGACGCUUGGCUCUGGGGGCGCAUACUGGCCGUCACCGCCCUGGACACAUGGUGAGAAGGAGCCCAGUGGUGUCUGACCCGAGGUGAGGUCCUCGCUCUUGUCAUACUCCCCUGCCCAGUCCCUUCCUACGGGACCUGAGUCAGCUCCAGGAAAGCUCAGCCUGGAGGAGAGAGGGACAAUAAGAGUAGGUCGCCUCGGUCCCAGGGCUCUUCUCCUGGGCAGGAGGGGACCCAGGGGGCCACGCUGAUGCCCUGUCUCUGCACCAGACUGUGCCGUGGUCCCCUGGGGAGUCGAAGGCAGCCCUGGGUCCCUGCCUCCAAGCCCUGGGAAGCUGGCUUCCUCUCCCCUGACCAUCCACAGACUCGGAUGCUGGCACAAGGGGGCGCCCGUGGACUUUGCAGCGCUUUCUGCUUGCUCCCCAGACCCUUCCAGGCCUGCGCAUGCGGGAAAGCAACUCGGGCCCAGGAGACACAGACAGCGAGUGAAACAGUGACCGCACUCUCACUGGGAGCCUGCAAAGGGCCGGCAACUCAGUUUUCAUUAACUCUCUCCUUCAAAGUGGUCCCUGCUAACCCCGUUUUGUAGAUGAAGAGAGUCUGAGGGCCAGAGAGGUUACCAGAUCGCCCAAAUUCACUGGACCAGUGGGAGGGAGGGGAGGAGAGGUGGGGUUGGCCCCCAGGCAGUGGUUCUACGAGAGACUGGACCUCCUCCUCACAGGGACUUUCGCCCGAGCAGGCAUGUCCUGCAGCCCCAACCCAUCCUCAGAGGCUGCAGUCUGGGGUGCUCCCUGCAGCUUUGCCCUCAGGGGCAACAGGGUGGGAUGAGGGGUCGUGGGUAGGUGGUGUCUUUGAGGAGACAGGAUGCGCUCAUUGCUGAAAAGCACUGCUCAGGCAGCAACACGGGCUGCUCUUCAGACCCUCCAAUCUGUGGGGUUAAAGACGCACCUACAGGGGCUGGCCCAGUGGCAUAAUGGUUAAGUUUGCAUGCUCCACUUUGGUGGUCCAGGGUUCACAGAUUCAGAUCCUGGGCAUGGACCUGCACACCGGCUCAUCAAGCUAUGCCAUGGCGGUGUCCCACAUACAAAAUAGAGGACGAUUGGAGCGGAUGUUAGCUCAGGGACAAUCUUCCUCACCAAGAAACAAACAGACAAACCAACAAACAAUAACACACCUACUAUGUAUUUCACAAGAACACAUGGAUGCCCACGGACUUCCACGAGCCCAGGAUAAUUGACCAUGGUGUGGAGAGGAGAUUGGACGAGGACUAUAGAUGAGAAGAUGCAGAGAUGAUGAGCAGAAUGGGAUUGCCUGUUCCAGAGUGUCUCCAUGGACUUCAUCUCCUUGUGCCUCCUAUGAACAUCUUCCUGGGGCUUUCAGAACCAGGGCAGCAUCGGGGGCAACAUCAGGAACUUGAUGGGGCCAUGCGCUGGGUUAGACAGUAUCCUCCUCAAAUUCACGUCCACUUGGAUCCUCAGAAUAGGACCUUAUCUGGAGAUCUGGUCCGUGUAGAUAUAGUCAAGAUGAGGUUGUGCUGGAUUAGAGUUGGCCCUAAUUCAAUGACUGGAGUCCUCAUAUGACAAAGGAAGAGAGACUGAGACACUGACACGCAGGAGAGGAAGGCCACGUGAGGACAGAGUUAGAGGUCUGUUAGAACCGAGGAACGCCGAGGAGCGCCAGGGCCCCUGGAAGCUAAAAGAGGCAAUGAGGGGUCCUCCCCUAGAGACCCCCCAGAGGGGAGCACGGCCCUGCUGACACCUUGAUUUUGGACUUUUGGCUUCUGGAACUGGGAGAGAACACGUUUCUAUUGCUUUAAGCCACACACUUUGCAGUCAUUUGUUCCAGCAGCCACAGAAAACGAGUGUAGGCAGCAGCAACGGACACAGCCACAAAGCCAAGGCCUUGUCCCCAUCAUCUGCACCUGACACAGAGACAGACGGCAUUGUUAUUUUCCAGGGACCGUGUGAGGGGAAUCAGGAACUAAAGAAAAGAUGCAACACUGUGACACCACUGAGGUUAUCCUAAGAUUAAACAAACAAACAAAGGCAGUUUCCCUGGGGAAAUGGCACACACAGGAACCAGGAAGUGACCACGUGCCCAGCAUCACAGCUGACUCUGGACAAGGAUAUAAAGGCUCUGGGCCCAGGAGAGUCCACACCUGACCCUCCCUUCUCUACCUGAUCCUCUGACCUGCUCCACCCUCAACCCACCAGAACCAUGGGCUGCUGUGGCUGCGGCUCCAGCUGUGGGGGCUGUGGCUCCAGCUGCUGUGUGCCCGUGUGCUGCUGCAAGCCCGUGUGCUGCUGUGUGCCAGCCUGUUCCUGCUCCAGCUGGGGACUGUGGCUCAUGUGGGGGCUGUAGCUCCUGUGGCUGCUCCCUGUCCAGCUGCUGUGUCCCCGUUUGCUGCCAGUGCAGGAUCUGAGGCUCGAUCUCAGACCUCAGGUGAGCCCAGGCUCCCCUGGAAGUGGACAGAGCCCCACCCCCGUCUUCCAGACCUGGGAGUAGUAUUCCCUGAGUCCUGAGGAAGGAAAUGACCCCGUCACAGUCCUUGACCUGUCCUGUGACCCCCCUUUCCAUGGCUUACCACAGGGAGUCUCCAUCUCGCCCCGGAGCUCCCAGAGCCCUGGAAUCUUCUCCAACAAGCCCUUUGCCAGAUCCAGCCCAGGAAGGGCCCAUCCCUGUCCAUGGGCUCUGACUGUUCCUCCCUCUUGUCCCCUCUCCCUCCACCCCCCCAUCGAGCCUGCCCUGCAGCCAAGAUCAGAACUGGGGGUGGGGGG